Equus asinus (donkey) is the source of this 3293-nucleotide long non-coding RNA. Lineage: Eukaryota; Metazoa; Chordata; Mammalia; Perissodactyla; Equidae. The record is from Ensembl.
CUUCAGGCCCCAGAGCUUGGCCCGACCCUAGAACGGCCACCGCCCUUCACACCGCGGAGGGCGGCGUCCCUCCCACCGCCGCGCCGAAUUCGGGCUUGGCGACUCGCUGGGGGGUCCCGGGCGCCCCCCACCCGCCCCGACGGCCAAGCGCCCGGAGCCCGCCCCACGGCCGCCCCUGAGGGCUGUCGUCCCGACAGGCUCGGUCCACUCCGCCCGCCGAGCCCUCGCCGAGCCCCGCUGCUGUGCUGACUUCAGCCCACAUCGCACCCCAGCCACCAGGGAACUUUCCAGAACGUUGGCCCUCUCUGGGAAGUCCCGAGUCGCCAUCCAGGAGGGAGCGCCCACCUGAGGCCUGGCGGGCUCGGGGCCGGGCCGCACGCGGAGCGCACCCUUCGGGCCCAGCCUCCGGAAGCGCUAUUCAGUCGCCGCGGGGCGCCACCCCUCGGGCCGGGCCCGCCGCUCCAGGGGCACCGACGGCGGCGCAGCAAGACACGGGAGAGCACCGCGCCCCCAGCCCGCCAGGAGCCCCCUGCCCGCCUAGACCUCGCCCGACCCCCCGGAGGCAGCCCGAGCUAAAAUUAGCGCCGAGCGCGCGGCGCGCUCACGUGCGCCCCGCGGGACGGGGUGCGGGUGAGUCACGGCCCCGCCCCCCUCGCCGAGGACGCGCUGACGUCAGCCGCUUCCCCGAAGGAUGACGUCAGCGCGCCUCGGGGAGGCCGCGAGGCCUCCGUAGAACGUUCACUGAGUUUCGAUGUCUUAAAGGGACCAGGCCUUGGAUCGUGAAAGAUCUAGAGCGAUGACUGCUCUCGCUCACCCGUGGAGGCAGAACUUGUCUUAUAUCUCUUUGUCCGGAGAAGUGUUGGCUAAGAUGAUGUUGAAAAAAAGAAGAGCACCUGAACCUCAUUGGAAGCUCCCCGAAGCCUCAGAACCUCCUCCUGGAAGCCCUCUGUGAUUAACCGGAAUCUCAUCCUUACUCAAAAGUUACACAGCUAAAGAAUGGCAAACAGGAAGUCAUUCCCAGGUCAGCUGGACUCUGAGUCUGUGUUUUGGUGACGAAGAUGGGCUAUGAAAUCUAUGUCUUAUUCGGGGUUUUCUGGAGCCUGUGACCAAACCCCUGGUGUGUGUUCCCACCACAACCUCAGGAGGAGAUGGAGAAAACCACAGACGGCCUCAGCCGUGAGGUCAGCGGCUUGUUCCCUUGCACUUGGCUUGGACGUACAGACAUGGAAGCUUAGAGCAGUAUGAGACCUUCAGGCCAACCAGGCCAGCCCCUGUUUUAUAACUAAGGGACUGAGGUGCAGGUGAGGUGACCUGCCUGGGGUCACAUGGCCUGUUAGGUAGAGAGUCCUAGUCACCUGACUUCCAGCCCACUGCUCUUUCCAUGAUCACACCUCUGUUAUGAGUCUCAGGUGGAACCGUGGGCGUAAAUGUGCAUGGUAAACUGUAACACGCCAUUUACACGAUAGAAAGGAAGACAAAUGGCGACUUGAAGUAAGUAUAGAGAUGAAACUGUAGGGAAGAAUUGGAGAAUACAAUUUCUGAGGACCCCUGGCUAUGCCUUCUUCCCCUUUCUUUUCUCUUCCAUACAGUCUCAAGAUAGGGGAGGGGGUUAUUCCUUCCCAGACCUAGGAACCACUUCCCAAUGGAAUGACAGGAUGGGUUGGAUUGCCAUUUUUAAACCUUCAGUAAUCAAAAUCUUGUGUGUCGUUUCAGGUUUUGACUUUUUAUCUCCCAGCCUUCACUUCCCAUCAUCUUCCUAUCUCAGAAGCCCCAUUUAAUGUUGUUAAGAGCCGUAAAUGUAACUGGCCACUAAUGUGGAAGGAUUGUGAUCUCCAGCAAACGGCCCCAGCAAAGAAAGGAGCAGGAAUCCUGGGUCUGUUCCCAACCGUGCCAGUGACUCACUGGAUGACACAAAGUAAUGUGGUUCUUUUGUUGGGGGGAGAGAUGUGAGAAGACGACGCACACAGCUGCUCGCCUGACAGAGGUGAAAGGGUGGAGGAGAAGCCAUUUGACAGGCUCCCAGCAUAGUGGAGGCUCAGGGGUCCCUGGGUGAAUCCAGUUCCAUAGUAACUGCUUAGCAAUGGCCGGCUGGGUCAGCCCUGAGCUCUGGCCCACUUGAGCCCCUGCCUCCGAUGGAGCCGCUAAGAUGGCGUGGGCUGGAUUAUGGCACUUACCCUUCAUGACAUCAUUCUCAUUGGUUAGGAAUGCGCCCUGGUUGUUCCUAACUCCACUUUAAUAACUUGUUAUAGAUCUGCCCUCCAGGAAUUUGUUUGAAACUUUCUUUAAUCUAUUUAUAUUUCAGCCUGUGCAGCCUUUUCAGGCGGCAAGUAGACUGACCAUUUAUGUAAAAGCACUUAGGUCCUAAAACACAGAAAGUGCUAUAUUAGGGUUCUUAUCAUAAUAAAACGUUUGUAAUUAUAAUGUAUUUAAUAAUGAUAUUAUAAUUUGAUGAUAACAGUGAAUUCAGGUGGUCUCACAGGCUUAUUUUUAGUCACUCACUCUGUUUGUCUUUGUCUUUAUCUCCCCACGCACCACUCCCUAGCCAUCAAAAAGUAUUUAUUAAUGGAGUGAGGGGCUGUCAUGGGUAUAACAAUGCAUGCAAACUUAGAUAAACACAUUCAGUGUCCUCUAAAGACUUACCAUCUACCACCAACAUACAGUAGGUGCUCAAUAAAUACUUGUUGGGCGAAUGGAUGGAUGGAAGGAAUUAAAAAAACCUGCGUGGUAACUGGUGAGACAUAUUAGGAAUGACUAUUUUGGGGGUUGGAGAGCAAACCUGAGAGCAUCAUGGGCAAGGAGGGAAAAGGGAACAUCCUGAUUUUCUGGUCAAUGCGCACGUGUGAGCUCUCCUCAGAUUGGCCCUAGAGCUCAUCCUGGAGGAAGAGCUGGUUUCCAGGCUGCUGAAAUGAUGCCUAGAGGAGGCAGGCCAAGGGGCACCCCCAUGGCAGGUGCCAUAUGGGUUGCAGGAGUGAGGAGGCAGGUACGGGGUCCAGAAGAGAAAGACCGGUCCCUGUGGCUAUCUCUAUUUUCAGUAGGAACCACACCGGAAUGUUUUAAAAAUCCCAUGACUCAGUAGGUGAAUGGCCAAAUAAAUUGUGGUACAUCCAAACAAUGGAAUAUUAUUCAAUGCCAAAAAGAAAUGAGCUAUCAAGCCAUGAAAACACAUGGAGGAAACUUAAGUGUGCAUAUCAAUAAGUGAAAGGAGCCAACUGAAAAGGCUAUGUGCUGUAUGAUUCCAACUAUAUGACCUACUGGAAAAGGCAAAACUACGGAGACAGUAAGAAGAUCAGUGG